GAUGAACGCUGGCGGCGUGCCUAGUACAUGCAAGUCGAGCGAAUGGAUUAAGAGCUUGCUCUUAUGAAGUUAGCGGCGGACGGGUGAGUAACACGUGGGUAACCUGCCCAUAAGCCUGGGAUAACUCCGGGAAACCGGGGCUAAUACCGGAUAACAUUUUGAACCGCAUGGUUCGAACUUGAGAGGCGGCUUCGGCUGUCACUUAUGGAUGGACCCGCGUCGCAUUAGCUAGUUGGUGACGUAACGGCUCACCAAGGCAACGAUGCGUAGCCGACCUGAUAGGGUGAUCGGCCACACUGGGACUGAGACACGGCCCAGACUCCUACGGGAGGCAGCAGUAGGGAAUCUUCCGCAAUGGACGAAAGUCUGACGGAGCAACGCCGCGUGAGUGAUGAAGGCUUUCGGGUCGUAAAACUCUGUUGUUAGGGAAGAACAAGUGCUAGUUGAAUAAGCUGGCACCUUGACGGUGCCUAACCAGAAAGCCACGGCUAACUACGUGCCAACAGCCGCAGUAA
This 515-nucleotide ribosomal RNA is filed under the name uncultured bacterium. RNAcentral's name for it is "partial 16S ribosomal RNA". It matches the Rfam family "Bacterial small subunit ribosomal RNA", at positions 28 to 523 of the family's 1533-position model. The record is from RNAcentral.